UUGACCUCGGAUCAGGUAGGAAUACCCGCUGAACUUAAGCAUAUCAAUAAGCGGAGGAAAAGAAACCAACAGGGAUUGCCCUAGUAACGGCGAGUGAAGCGGCAACAGCUCAAAUUUGAAAUCUGGCCUUCGGGUCCGAGUUGUAAUUUGCAGAGGAUGCUUUUGGCGAGGUGCCUUCCGAGUUCCCUGGAACGGGACGCCUUAGAGGGUGAGAGCCCCGUACGGUUGGACACCGAGCCUCUGUAAAGCUCCUUCGACGAGUCGAGUAGUUUGGGAAUGCUGCUCUAAAUGGGAGGUAAAUUUCUUCUAAAGCUAAAUACCGGCCAGAGACCGAUAGCGCACAAGUAGAGUGAUCGAAAGAUGAAAAGCACUUUGAAAAGAGGGUUAAAUAGCACGUGAAAUUGUUGAAAGGGAAGCGUUUACGGCCAGACCUUCUCCUGGCGGAUCAUCCGGUGUUCUCACCGGUGCACUUCGCCAGGUUUAGGCCAGCAUCGGCUUCUGUAGGGGGAUAAAAGCAGUGGGAAAGUAGCUCUCUCGGGAGUGUUAUAGCCCUAAGCAUAAUACCUUUACGGGGGCCGAGGACCGCGCUCUGCAAGGA
RNAcentral lists this ribosomal RNA (598 nucleotides) under Biscogniauxia nummularia. RNAcentral describes it as "eukaryotic LSU rRNA". It matches the Rfam family "Eukaryotic large subunit ribosomal RNA", at positions 1 to 608 of the family's 3401-position model. The record is from RNAcentral. Lineage: Eukaryota; Fungi; Ascomycota; Sordariomycetes; Xylariales; Xylariaceae.